UUUGGGUUUUGAGCAGAAUCUUUCUGCUGCUUGGCUGAAGGUUAUUCAUCAUUUCUACUAGAGCUUGGCUUUCUCUUCUCACAGGCAUUUUUCUCAUGGGGAUUCUCUAUCUGAUCUGUUGAUGCAACUGCACUUUCCUCCUCAUUCUCAUGGUAUUUCAAUCUGCUUCUAUGGAUGCUGCAACUGAUUCCAUGGCCUCUUGAACACGAGUGGAAUCCAGCUGGCGAUGGACCUAAUGGAGGUCUCCCAAUGGGUUUACUUUAAGAGCUUCUUGAGGGCUCAAAGGAUAUUGCAGAAUCUUGGACUUAGGACGCC
This 315-nucleotide long non-coding RNA is filed under the name Vitis vinifera (wine grape). RNAcentral describes it as "long non-coding RNA (VVIN_LNC005363)". Lineage: Eukaryota; Viridiplantae; Streptophyta; Magnoliopsida; Vitales; Vitaceae. The record is from RNAcentral.